Molecule: ribosomal RNA, 226 nt
Filed under: uncultured bacterium
Lineage: Bacteria
Description: partial 16S ribosomal RNA
Rfam family: Bacterial small subunit ribosomal RNA
Source: RNAcentral
AGAGUUUGAUCAUGGCUCAGGAUGAACGCUGGCGGCGUGCCUAACACAUGCAAGUCGAACGGAGCUGCUUUGAUGAAGUUUUCGGAUGGAUUUAAAGCAGCUUAGUGGCGGACGGGUGAGUAACGCGUGGGUAACCUGCCUCACACUGGGGGAUAACAGUUAGAAAUAGCUGCUAAUACCGCAUAAGCGCACGGUUCCGCACUGGAACAGUGUGAAAACUACCGGU